RNAcentral lists this ribosomal RNA (282 nucleotides) under uncultured prokaryote. RNAcentral's name for it is "partial 16S ribosomal RNA". It matches the Rfam family "Bacterial small subunit ribosomal RNA", at positions 524 to 803 of the family's 1533-position model. The record is from RNAcentral.
CACGUAGGAGGCAAACGUUAUCCGGAUUUACUGGGCGUAAAGCGCGUGUAGGUGGUACUGUAAGUAGGGCGUGAAAGCUCCCGGCUCAACUGUGAGAGGCCGUUCUAAACUACAGAACUAGAGGAUGGUAGAGGGAGGUGGAAUUCCAGGUGUAGCGGUGGAAUGCGCAGAUAUCUGGAGGAACACCGGUGGCGAAGGCGGCCUCCUGGACCAUUCCUGACACUCAGACGCGAAAGCUAGGGUAGCAAACGGGAUUAGAUACCCGGGUAGUCCCUGAGCGGG